This 484-nucleotide ribosomal RNA is filed under the name uncultured bacterium. Its description in RNAcentral is "partial 16S ribosomal RNA". It matches the Rfam family "Bacterial small subunit ribosomal RNA", at positions 28 to 507 of the family's 1533-position model. The record is from RNAcentral.
AUUGAACGCUGGCGGCAUGCUUUACACAUGCGAGUCGAACGGCCGCGCGGGCUUCGGCCUGGCGGCGAGUGGCGAACGGGUGAGUAAUACAUCGGAACGUGCCCAGUAGUGGGGGAUAGCUCGGCGAAAGCCGGAUUAAUACCGCAUACGACCUGAGGGUGAAAGCGGGGGAUCUUCGGACCUCGCGCCUUUGGAGCGGCCGAUGGCAGGUUCGCUAGUUGGUGGGGUAAAGGCCUACCAAGGCGACGAUCUGUAGCUGGUCUGAGAGGAAGACCAGCCACACUGGGACUGAGACACGGCCCAGACUCCUACGGGAGGCAGCAGUGGGGAAUUUUGGCCAAUGGGCGAAAGCCUGAUCCAGCCAUGCCGCGUGUGUGAUGAAGGCCUUCGGGUUGUAAAGCACUUUUGGCGGGAACGAAAAGGACUGUGCCAAUACCACGGUUCGAUGACGGUACCCGCAGAAUAAGCACCGGCUAACUACGUG